RNAcentral lists this non-coding RNA (45 nucleotides) under Opisthorchis viverrini. The record is from RNAcentral. Lineage: Eukaryota; Metazoa; Platyhelminthes; Trematoda; Opisthorchiida; Opisthorchiidae.
ACACUGCUGAUGAGCUCUAACUAGGGCAAAACUCGAGUCCAGUGU